AGAUUGAACGCUGGCGGCAGGCCUAACACAUGCAAGUCGAGCGGUAGAGAGGUGCUUGCACCUCUUGAGAGCGGCGGACGGGUGAGUAAUGCCUAGGAAUCUGCCUAGUGGUGGGGGAUAACGGUUCGGAAACGGACGCUAAUACCGCAUACGUCCUACGGGAGAAAGCGGGGGACCUUCGGGCCUCGCGCCAUUAGAUGAGCCUAGGUCGGAUUAGCUAGUUGGUGAGGUAAUGGCUCACCAAGGCGACGAUCCGUAACUGGUCUGAGAGGAUGAUCAGUCACACUGGAACUG
Molecule: ribosomal RNA, 294 nt
Filed under: uncultured soil bacterium
Lineage: Bacteria
Description: partial 16S ribosomal RNA
Rfam family: Bacterial small subunit ribosomal RNA
Source: RNAcentral